Molecule: ribosomal RNA, 453 nt
Filed under: uncultured bacterium
Lineage: Bacteria
Description: bacterial SSU rRNA
Rfam family: Bacterial small subunit ribosomal RNA
Source: RNAcentral
GACGAACGUUGGCGGCGUGCCUAACACAUGCAAGUCAGGGGUUCUUCGGAACACCGGCGGACGGGUGAGUAACGCGUAGAUAAUCUGCCUCUAUCACGGGGAUAACUACUGGAAACGGUGGCUAAUACCCGAUGUUGCAACUUGUUGUAAAAGUCUUCGGACGGAUAGAGAUGAGUCUGCGUCUGAUUAGCUUGUUGGUAAGGUAACGGCUUACCAAGGCGAUGAUCAGUAACUGGUCUGAGAGGACGAUCAGUCACACUGGAACUGAGACACGGUCCAGACUCCUACGGGAGGCAGCAGUGAGGAAUAUUGGUCAAUGGGGGCAACCCUGAACCAGCGACGCCGCGUGAGGGAUGACGGGGCUUUGCCUUGUAAACCUCUGUCAGAAGGGAAAAGAAGGUUGUUUGGCGACCUGGGCUUGUACCUUCGGAGGAAGCACCGGCUAACUACGUG